This 721-nucleotide long non-coding RNA is filed under the name Macaca mulatta (Rhesus monkey). Its description in RNAcentral is "lncRNA (ENSMMUG00000046375.2)". Lineage: Eukaryota; Metazoa; Chordata; Mammalia; Primates; Cercopithecidae. The record is from RNAcentral.
UUAAGAAAUUCCUGUCACAAACAAAUACAUUUUUAGGUUUCUUGGUAUUUACAAAUGAUUGCAUUCAGGAGAAAAUAAUCUUUCCUACUAAGAGAGUAAAGGGGAAAACCACGCAUUCAAUUUGUAGAAGAAAAGCCAUUUUAGUUAUUUCUAUUUUUAUUCGAGCAAAGUAUACCCGAGUUGGCCUAUUUUUCCAUUUAAGCCUAUUUAUUAUUGCCAUCCAACGUUCAUUAGAUGUUUUUGCUCCUCUGGGAAGAAAUACCCUUUAAUGCCCCUUUCUAACUACAGGGCUAUUGUGCAGAGAUGCUACCUGGUGUAUGUCUGGAAGAUAGCAGAUUGUGGAUCCCAGGUAGGCUUUGUGGGGUCAUACUGCUGGAUGAAUGACUUUGAGGAUAUCACUUCCUGGUGACAUUGCUGUGACAGGCUGACAUUGCUGUGGGCAGGAACUAGAGGGAGAACAAUCUAAGAGACCUGAUUCUCAUCAGAAAGAGAAUCUGCUAUAAUCCUCAUCUUGAGAAUGUAUAAUCUCUAAUCCUCAUCUUAGACUCACCUCUACCUGAUGACUUACCGGUAAGCAAUAACAUGUGACUGAAAUAGAGGUCUUGGAGCAGCCAGGCGUUUUCCAUGGUGGGUUUGUUAAAAUCAAUAUCACAUUUAUUUAGAUAAGAAUACCAAGUCAUACAGAAUGUUCUCCCUGGCAAACCGGGUUGAGAUGGGAAAG